GCCCAGGUGCUGAAAUUGGUAGACAGGCCACCUUGAGGGGGUGGUGUCCUACGGGCGUGCGGGUUCGAAUCCCGCUCUGGGCA
This 83-nucleotide transfer RNA is filed under the name Crocinitomix sp. RNAcentral's name for it is "tRNA-Leu". It matches the Rfam family "tRNA". From Rfam's summary of the family: Transfer RNA (tRNA) molecules are approximately 80 nucleotides in length. Their secondary structure includes four short double-helical elements and three loops (D, anti-codon, and T loops). The record is from RNAcentral. Lineage: Bacteria; Pseudomonadati; Bacteroidota; Flavobacteriia; Flavobacteriales; Crocinitomicaceae.